Molecule: ribosomal RNA, 601 nt
Filed under: Escherichia coli
Lineage: Bacteria; Pseudomonadati; Pseudomonadota; Gammaproteobacteria; Enterobacterales; Enterobacteriaceae
Description: partial 23S ribosomal RNA
Rfam family: Bacterial large subunit ribosomal RNA
Source: RNAcentral
GUGAAGAUGCAGUGUACCCGCGGCAAGACGGAAAGACCCCGUGAACCUUUACUAUAGCUUGACACUGAACAUUGAGCCUUGAUGUGUAGGAUAGGUGGGAGGCUUUGAAGUGUGGACGCCAGUCUGCAUGGAGCCGACCUUGAAAUACCACCCUUUAAUGUUUGAUGUUCUAACGUUGACCCGUAAUCCGGGUUGCGGACAGUGUCUGGUGGGUAGUUUGACUGGGGCGGUCUCCUCCUAAAGAGUAACGGAGGAGCACGAAGGUUGGCUAAUCCUGGUCGGACAUCAGGAGGUUAGUGCAAUGGCAUAAGCCAGCUUGACUGCGAGCGUGACGGCGCGAGCAGGUGCGAAAGCAGGUCAUAGUGAUCCGGUGGUUCUGAAUGGAAGGGCCAUCGCUCAACGGAUAAAAGGUACUCCGGGGAUAACAGGCUGAUACCGCCCAAGAGUUCAUAUCGACGGCGGUGUUUGGCACCUCGAUGUCGGCUCAUCACAUCCUGGGGCUGAAGUAGGUCCCAAGGGUAUGGCUGUUCGCCAUUUAAAGUGGUACGCGAGCUGGGUUUAGAACGUCGUGAGACAGUUCGGUCCCUAUCUGCCGUGGGCG